This 74-nucleotide transfer RNA is filed under the name Brassica napus (rape). RNAcentral's name for it is "tRNA tRNA-Ile". It matches the Rfam family "tRNA". Rfam says of the family: Transfer RNA (tRNA) molecules are approximately 80 nucleotides in length. Their secondary structure includes four short double-helical elements and three loops (D, anti-codon, and T loops). The record is from Rfam by way of RNAcentral. Lineage: Eukaryota; Viridiplantae; Streptophyta; Magnoliopsida; Brassicales; Brassicaceae.
GGCUUAUUAGCUCAGUUGGUUAGAGCGUUGUGCUUAUAACGCGAAGGUCACAGGUUCGAAACUUGUAUAGGCCA